Molecule: ribosomal RNA, 454 nt
Filed under: uncultured bacterium
Lineage: Bacteria
Description: bacterial SSU rRNA
Rfam family: Bacterial small subunit ribosomal RNA
Source: RNAcentral
UACGGGAGGCAGCAGUGGGGAAUAUUGCACAAUGGGCGCAAGCCUGAUGCAGCCAUGCCGCGUGUAUGAAGAAGGCCUUCGGGUUGUAAGGUACUUUCAGUCGUGAGGAAGGUGUUAAGGUUAAUAACCUUAGCAAUUGACGUUAGCGACAGAAGAAGCACCGGCUAACUCCGUGCCAGCAGCCGCGGUAAUACGGAGGGUGCGAGCGUUAAUCGGAAUUACUGGGCGUAAAGGGCACGCAGGCGGCUAAUUAAGUUGGAUGUGAAAUCCCCGGGCUUAACCUGGGAAUGGCAUUCAAGACUGGUUAGCUAGAGUCUUGUAGAGGGGGUAGAAUUCCAUGUGUAGCGGUGAAAUGCGUAGAGAUGUGGAGGAAUACCGGUGGCGAAGGCGGCCCCUGGGACAAAGACUGACGCUCAUGUGCGAAAGCGUGGGGAGCAAACAGGGAUUAGAUACC